UACAGAGGGUGCAAGCGUUAAUCGGAAUUACUGGGCGUAAAGCGCACGUAGGCGGUUUUUUAAGUCAGAUGUGAAAGCCCCGGGCUCAACCUGGGAAUUGCAUUUGAAACUGGGAAACUAGAGUGUGUGAGAGGGGGGUAGAAUUCCAAGUGUAGCGGUGAAAUGCGUAGAGAUUUGGAGGAAUACCAGUGGCGAAGGCGGCCCCCUGGCAAAACACUGACGCUCAGGUGCGAAAGCGUGGGGAGCAAACAGG
Molecule: ribosomal RNA, 253 nt
Filed under: uncultured bacterium
Lineage: Bacteria
Description: partial 16S ribosomal RNA
Rfam family: Bacterial small subunit ribosomal RNA
Source: RNAcentral